RNAcentral lists this ribosomal RNA (776 nucleotides) under uncultured bacterium. Its description in RNAcentral is "bacterial SSU rRNA". It matches the Rfam family "Bacterial small subunit ribosomal RNA", at positions 61 to 843 of the family's 1533-position model. The record is from RNAcentral.
GUCGAGGGGUAUAGGUUUUCGGACCUAGAGACCGGCGCACGGGUGCGUAACGCGUAUGCAAUCUACCUUUUACAGAGGGAUAGCCCAGAGAAAUUUGGAUUAAUACCUCAUAGUAUUACGACUCGGCAUCGAGAUGUAAUUAAAGUCACAACGGUAAAAGAUGAGCAUGCGUCCCAUUAGCUUGUUGGUAAGGUAACGGCUUACCAAGGCAACGAUGGGUAGGGGUCCUGAGAGGGAGAUCCCCCACACUGGUACUGAGACACGGACCAGACUCCUACGGGAGGCAGCAGUGAGGAAUAUUGGUCAAUGGGCGCAAGCCUGAACCAGCCAUGCCGCGUGCAGGAUGAAGCAUCUAUGGUGUGUAAACUGCUUUUGUACGAGAAGAAACACUCCUACGUGUAGGAGCUUGACGGUAUCGUAAGAAUAAGGACCGGCUAACUCCGUGCCAGCAGCCGCGGUAAUACGGAGGGUCCAAGCGUUAUCCGGAAUCAUUGGGUUUAAAGGGUCCGUAGGCGGUUUUGUAAGUCAGUGGUGAAAGCCCAUCGCUCAACGGUGGAACGGCCAUUGAUACUGCAAGACUUGAAUUAUUAGGAAGUAACUAGAAUAUGUAGUGUAGCGGUGAAAUGCUUAGAGAUUACAUGGAAUACCAAUUGCGAAGGCAGGUUACUACUAAUGGAUUGACGCUGAUGGACGAAAGCGUGGGGAGCGAACAGGAUUAGAUACCCUGGUAGUCCACGCCGUAAACGAUGGAUACUAGCUGUUCGGAGCAAUCUGAG